UGGGGAAUUUUGGACAAUGGGCGCAAGCCUGAUCCAGCCAUGCCGCGCGCAGGAUGAAGGCCUUCGGGUUGUAAACUGCUUUUGUACGGAACGAAAAGACUCUGGUUAAUACUUGGGGCCCAUGACGGUACCGUAAGAAUAAGCACCGGCUAACAACGUGCCAGCAGCCGCGGUAAUACGUAGGGUGCGAGCGUUAAUCGGAAUUACUGGGCGUAAAGCGUGCGCAGGCGGUUAUGUAAGACAGAUGUGAAAUCCCCGGGCUCAACCUGGGAACUGCAUUUGUGACUGCAUGGCUAGAGUACGGCAGAGGGGAAUGGAAUUCCGAGUGUAGCAGUGAAAGGCGUAGAUAUGGGGAGGAACACGGAUGGCGAAGGCGAUCCCCUGAGCCUGUACUGACGCUCAGGCACGAAAGCGUGGGGAGCAAACA
RNAcentral lists this ribosomal RNA (427 nucleotides) under uncultured bacterium. RNAcentral's name for it is "bacterial SSU rRNA". It matches the Rfam family "Bacterial small subunit ribosomal RNA", at positions 355 to 774 of the family's 1533-position model. The record is from RNAcentral.